RNAcentral lists this ribosomal RNA (272 nucleotides) under uncultured bacterium. Its description in RNAcentral is "partial 16S ribosomal RNA". The record is from RNAcentral.
CUGCUGCCUUCCGUAGGAGUCUGGUCCGUGUCUCAGUACCAGUGUGGGGGACCUUCCUCUCAGAACCCCUAGACAUCGUCGCCUUGGUGGGCCGUUACCCCGCCAACAAGCUAAUGUCACGCAUGCCCAUCCGUCUCCGGAGUUGCCUCCUUUGGCCUAAAGAAGAUGCCUCCCCUCGGCCACAUGCGGUAUUAGGCCGGAUUUCUCCGGGUUAUCCCGCUGAAACGGGCAGGUUGCAUACGCGUUACUCACCCGUGCGCCGGUCGCCCGGG